Long non-coding RNA from Ornithorhynchus anatinus (platypus), 645 nucleotides. RefSeq lists it as uncharacterized. The transcript has 2 exons. The record is from RefSeq and is a predicted model, not a curated record. NCBI's taxonomy places the organism in Eukaryota, Metazoa, Chordata, Mammalia, Monotremata, Ornithorhynchidae.
AGAGAUCAUGAUGCAGACGUCCUUUUGGAUUUCUUUUUAAUAAUGUGUGACCCUUCACCUUUGAUCCCCUGACCUGCAUAUCCUUGCCUUAGGAAUCGGCAACAAAGCUGGAAUGUUGGCUGAAUCGCCAAGAAAACCCCUCCCCUCCCCCAGGUGUUCGCCACCACCUCCCGUGAAGCCUUCCGGACCCUCCUUUUUCCUACCCGCUCGCUUGAGUCCACAUGGGACCCUCAUCUUUUCAGGGGCGGAGGAGUGAAGCCUGGUACUUGCCAGUCAGUCAAUCCUAUUUAUUGAGUGCUUGCUGUGUGCAGAGCACUGUGCUAAGCGCUUAGGAGAGCUACAGUACAACAGACCCAUUCCCUGCCCACAAUGAGCUUACAGUCUAGAGAAGAGAGUUUGCUAGUCUUAGGUUUGGAAUGGACUCUGGAACGUCAUUAACCCAUUUCCCAGGAUUAGCCCGGUCUGUACUCAAAUCCUCCUGGAAACAUGGUGGCUUAUCCAUUUAUUUUAAACUCCGUAGAGAACAUUUCACCACCUUUCCCAGAAGACUGUUGAUCUAAGCAGCCCUAUCAUCUUCCUGUAAAUCUGGGAGCACCUUAAAAUGCUCCGCACACAGUAAGCACUCAAUAAAUACAAAUGAAUGAA